UUUUUGGUUUUGGUAAAUAUGUGGUUUUGUUUCUGUGAAUGAACUGUAAGUGUUGAUCUCCAACAAGUGCAGUUCGUUCAAUAUUCCGGUAAAUGGCAAUAUGUUGUUUUUUUCGAAACAAACUGUUCAACUGGUCACGAGUUUUUUACCAGCUGCUGUAGAAAACCACAGUCACUUCAUUAAGUGAAAGGGGAGAAAAUAAAAGCAAUUUGCAAAUCGGUCAUAAUUUUGAAUAAAGUGAAAUAUUUGGAGAGCAACACUUUAAGUUCAGUCACAGUAUUUGGAAAAAAACAUGAUAUUCACUAAGGCCAAUCAUCGGGGUUAGUAUCAGGUUUUUGAAAGUAAAUUGAAAAGGAGGAAGACUAAGACAAACACUUGUUGCAUGUUUCUGGAUCUUUUUGGGGAAU
Molecule: long non-coding RNA, 407 nt
Filed under: Mytilus galloprovincialis (Mediterranean mussel)
Lineage: Eukaryota; Metazoa; Mollusca; Bivalvia; Mytilida; Mytilidae
Source: RNAcentral